UGGGGAAUAUUGGACAAUGGACCGAGAGUCUGAUCCAGCAAUUCUGUGUGCACGAUGAAGUUUUUCGGAAUGUAAAGUGCUUUCAGUUGGGAAGAAAGAAAUGACGGUACCAACAGAAGAAGUGACGGCUAAAUACGUGCCAGUAGCCGCGGUAAUACGUAUGUCACGAGCGUUAUCCGGAUUUAUUGGGCGUAAAGCGCGUCUAGGUGGUUAUAUAAGUCUGAUGUGAAAUCCCCGGGCUCAACCUGGGAACUGCAUCUGAUACUGGCAAGCUUGAGUCUCGUAGAGGGGGGUAGAAUUCCAGGUGUAGCGGUGAAAUGCGUAGAGAUCUGGAGGAAUACCGGUGGCGAAGGCGGCCCCCUGGACGAAGACUGACGCUCAGGUGCGAAAGCGUGGGGAGCAAACAGGAUUAGAUACCCUGGUAGUCCACGCCGUAAACGAUGUCGACUUGGAGGUUGUGCCCUUGAGGCGUGGCUUCCGGAGCUAACGCGUUAAGUCGACCGCCUGGGGAGUACGGCCGCAAGGUUA
This 528-nucleotide ribosomal RNA is filed under the name uncultured bacterium. RNAcentral's name for it is "bacterial SSU rRNA". It matches the Rfam family "Bacterial small subunit ribosomal RNA", at positions 355 to 896 of the family's 1533-position model. The record is from RNAcentral.